GACGAACGCUGGCGGCGUGCUUAACACAUGCAAGUCGAGCGGUAAGGCUCCUUCGGGAGUACACGAGAGGCGAACGGGUGAGUAACACGUGCGUAAUCUGCCCCGCACUUCGGGAUAAGCGCCGGAAACGGCGUCUAAUACCGACUACGACCAGCCUUCGCAUGAGGUGCUGGUGGAAAGUCUUAUCCGUUCGGGAUGUGCUCGCGGCCUAUCAGCUUGGUGGUGAGGUAACGGCUCACCAAGGCUGCGACGGGUAGACGGCCUGAGGGGGUGGCCGGCCACACUGGGACUGGGACACGGCCCAGACUCCGACGGGAGGCUGCAGUGGGGAAGAUUGGACAAUGGGCGAAAGCCUGAUCCAGCAACGCCGCGUGAGGGAUGACGGCCUUCGGGUUGUAAACCUCUUUCAGUAUCGACGAAGCGCCUUUAACGGUGGUGACGGUAGAUACAGAAGAAGGACCGGCCAACUACGUGCCAGCCGCCGCAGUAA
This 490-nucleotide ribosomal RNA is filed under the name uncultured bacterium. Its description in RNAcentral is "partial 16S ribosomal RNA". It matches the Rfam family "Bacterial small subunit ribosomal RNA", at positions 28 to 523 of the family's 1533-position model. The record is from RNAcentral.